GGUGAGUAAUGCCUAGGAAUCUGCCUGGUAGUGGGGGACAACGUUUCGAAAGGAACGCUAAUACCGCGUACGUCCUAAGGGAGAAAGCAGGGGACCUUCGGGCCUUGCGCUAUCAGAUGAGCCUAGGUCGGAUUAGCUUGUUGGUGAGGUAAUGGCUCACCAAGGCGACGAUCCGUAACUGGUCUGAGAGGAUGAUCAGUCACACUGGAACUGAGACACGGUCCAGACUCCUACGGGAGGCAGCAGUGGGGAAUAUUGGACAAUGGGCGAAAGCCUGAUCCAGCCAUGCCGCGUGUGUGAAGAAGGUCUUCGGAUUGUAAAGCACUUUAAGUUGGGAGGAAGGGUUGUAGAUUAAUACUCUGCAAUUUUGACGUUACCGACAGAAUAAGCACCGGCUAACUCUGUGCCAGCAGCCGCGGUAAUACAGAGGGUGCAAGCGUUAAUCGGAAUUACUGGGCGUAAAGCGCGCGUAGGUGGUUUGUUAAGUUGGAUGUGAAAGCCCCGGGCUCAACCUGGGAACUGCAUCCAAAACUGGCAAGCUAGAGUACGGUAGAGGGUGGUGGAAUUUCCUGUGUAGCGGUGAAAUGCGUAGAUAUAGGAAGGAACACCAGUGGCAAAGGCGACCACCUGGACUGAUACUGACACUGAGGUGCGAAAGCGUGGGGAGCAAACAGGAUUAGAUACCCUGGUAGUCCACGCCGUAAACGAUGUCAACUAGCCGAUGGAAUCCUUGAGAUUUUAGUGGCGCAGCUAACGCAUUAAGUUGACCGCCUGGGGAGUACGGCCGCAAGGUUAAAACUCAAAUGAAUUGACGGGGGCCCGCACAAGCGGUGG
RNAcentral lists this ribosomal RNA (834 nucleotides) under uncultured bacterium. RNAcentral's name for it is "bacterial SSU rRNA". It matches the Rfam family "Bacterial small subunit ribosomal RNA", at positions 105 to 935 of the family's 1533-position model. The record is from RNAcentral.